This 497-nucleotide ribosomal RNA is filed under the name uncultured bacterium. RNAcentral's name for it is "partial 16S ribosomal RNA". It matches the Rfam family "Bacterial small subunit ribosomal RNA", at positions 36 to 507 of the family's 1533-position model. The record is from RNAcentral.
UCUUCCCUCUGGCGGCGUGCCUAAUACAUGCAAGUCGAGCGAACAGACGAGGAGCUUGCUCCUCUGACGUUAGCGGCGGACGGGUGAGUAACACGUGGAUAACCUACCUAUAAGACUGGGAUAACUUCGGGAAACCGGAGCUAAUACCGGAUAAUAUAUUGAACCGCAUGGUUCAAUAGUGAAAGACGGUUUUGCUGUCACUUAUAGAUGGAUCCGCGCCGCAUUAGCUAGUUGGUAAGGUAACGGCUUACCAAGGCAACGAUGCGUAGCCGACCUGAGAGGGGGAUCGGCCACACUGGAACUGAGACACGGUCCAGACUCCUACGGGAGGCAGCAGUAGGGAAUCUUCCGCAAUGGGCGAAAGCCUGACGGAGCAACGCCGCGUGAGUGAUGAAGGUCUUCGGAUCGUAAAACUCUGUUAUUAGGGAAGAACAAAUGUGUAAGUAACUAUGCACGUCUUGACGGUACCUAAUCAGAAAGCCGCGGCUAACUACGUG